RNAcentral lists this transfer RNA (74 nucleotides) under Ardenticatenales bacterium. Its description in RNAcentral is "tRNA-Arg". It matches the Rfam family "tRNA". Rfam says of the family: Transfer RNA (tRNA) molecules are approximately 80 nucleotides in length. Their secondary structure includes four short double-helical elements and three loops (D, anti-codon, and T loops). RNAcentral also lists the same sequence under 2 other names. The record is from RNAcentral. Lineage: Bacteria; Bacillati; Chloroflexota; Ardenticatenia; Ardenticatenales.
GUCCCCGUAGCUCAGCAGGACAGAGCAGGAACCUCCUAAGUUCAAGGUCGGCGGUUCGAAUCCGCCCGGGGACU